RNAcentral lists this ribosomal RNA (253 nucleotides) under uncultured bacterium. RNAcentral's name for it is "partial 16S ribosomal RNA". It matches the Rfam family "Bacterial small subunit ribosomal RNA", at positions 524 to 776 of the family's 1533-position model. The record is from RNAcentral.
UACGGAGGGGGCUAGCGUUGUUCGGAAUUACUGGGCGUAAAGCGCGCGUAGGCGGCUUAGCAAGUUAGAGGUGAAAGCCCUGGGCUCAACCUAGGAAGUGCAUUCGAAACUUCCGAGCUAGAGUUCUGGAGAGGAAGGCGGAAUUCUCGGUGUAGAGGUGAAAUUCGUAGAUAUCGAGAGGAACACCGGUGGCGAAGGCGGCCUUCUGGACAGUGACUGACGCUGAGACGCGAAAGCGUGGGGAGCAAACAGG